This 381-nucleotide ribosomal RNA is filed under the name uncultured soil bacterium. Its description in RNAcentral is "bacterial SSU rRNA". It matches the Rfam family "Bacterial small subunit ribosomal RNA", at positions 26 to 409 of the family's 1533-position model. The record is from RNAcentral.
AGGACGAACGCUGGCGGCGUGCUUAACACAUGCAAGUCAAGGGGGCCCAGUAGCAAUACUGGGCAACCGGCGAACGGGUGCGUAACACGUGAGCAACCUACCGAAAUGUGGGGGAUAGCCGGCCUAACGGCCGAGUAAUACCGCAUACGCUCUCGAUGAGGCAUUUCAUUGAGAGGAAACCUACGGGACAUUUCGAGGGGCUCGCGGCCUAUCAGCUAGUUGGCGAGGUAACGGCUCACCAAGGCAACGACGGGUAGCUGGUCUGAGAGGAUGGCCAGCCACAUUGGGACUGAGAUACGGCCAGACUCCUACGGGAGGCAGCGAGUGGGGAAUCUUGCGCAAUGGCCUAACGGCUGACGCAGGCGACGCCGCGUGUAGGAU